UGAAGUAGAAGUUGAUAUUAAUUAAACUCAACAGCAUAAUAGGUUGUAGCUAUGUAUGUAGAACUUACAUAAGAGACCCGACAAGAAUCCGGAUUACCUACCUAAGCUAACACAAACUAUUCCAUAUCAAUGAUAAGCUCACAGUUAGGAGCCUAUACAAAAGUAAAAGAAUGUCGCCUCUUACAUACUCUAUCAACUAGACCUAUACCUGCUUAUCACGUAAUUGUUGUACAAGCAAGAGACUAGAAGUGGCAUAGAAGACUCAUAGAAGUCAUUCUACCCUCAUACAAGCUUUAAAAUUAUAAGGGUCCCAACAACCUUGGCCUGUGUCCAUAACAUGUCAAUUUCUACCCUCUCUGAACCCCUAAGAUUGGACCCAGGCCCACCAGCCCAGGCCCAACCACGAGGUCCAGUUCCACCUGGAUCCAUCUCCAACCCAGCAACCAACCAAGCCAUAUCAACUCAUCCAGGCCCGGCCCAUAUGUGCACCCCAGAUUAGGGUUUCCCGCCGCCAAGGCCAG
Molecule: long non-coding RNA, 521 nt
Filed under: Fragaria vesca (wild strawberry)
Lineage: Eukaryota; Viridiplantae; Streptophyta; Magnoliopsida; Rosales; Rosaceae
Description: long non-coding RNA (FVES_LNC000829)
Source: RNAcentral